UCUGUCUCCAAGGCACGGACUUGAUCCAGAAUGUAAACAACCUGACCACCAGUGUCAGGGUAACCAAGGACAUUGUCCUGAGCGAAGUAGCCAUGCGGAGAGAGGAUCACAACGUUGAACACCAUUGGGAUUCUUCCGAGAAAGGUCUCAAGAGUGCAAGGGUCAGGGGCCUCAAGAAGGUCCAAAAGAAGACGGAGCAUGUCAAGGACACGCUCGGCGUUGUUUCCCCAUCCCCUCUCAAGACCAAUCUCCUCAAACUUGGCCUCAAAGUCUUCGUAAGGCGUUUCGGGUGAAAGCUCGGCUAGAUACUCCUCAGCUUUCCUCAAGAUGUGUUGAAGAGUGUUGAGGUUUUGAAUUUUCUCGUUCAACAUGAGGGUCUACACGACAAAACACACAAAUCAUUCAGACAAGAUUCUGUGUUUAAAGAAGAAGAGAUUUGAACAGUUUACCUUUCCCUGGUGGCUGUGAAGUUGAAGGAACUUAAGCAAUGGAAGCAAACUGUCUUUUUCAUGGAAGAGCUUAGCAGAGAGGUGACGGUUAAGGAACUCAACACCGUCUCCAAUGUACUUGGGGAGCGUUGGGCGAGGGACAGACGCGUUGAAUGGCUCAAAAUCAAGCUCUAGUGUGAAAUUUCCAUUCUUACUGCCAUUCAAAAGUGACAUCAUUGAGUGUGCAACACACACAAACAGUAAAAAACAGAAUUUGAAGUUAGAAAGUGGUUUAGACAUACACUCCAUCAACAAGUUCUUCUUUGAAAUGAAGAAACUCAGCAGGUUGAAGCUCCUCAACAACAAGAGCAUGGAGAUUGACUCUUAUGUAUUCCCACACACCAGGCCUUGGCCUCACAGCAAGAGCUACCCAUGGUGGCAACACUAUUGCUUCCUGUUUUUUUUAACCAAUACCAAUACAAAAAGAUCAAAACUUUUUACCAAAAGAUCAAAACUUUCACUACCAAAAAGAUAAAAACUUAUUACCAAAAGAUCAAAACUCUUUUUUACCAAAAGGUGAAGGUUUUUUAUCAAAAGAUCAAAACUUUCACUACCAAAAAGACCAAAACUCUCACUACCAAAAAGAUUAAAACUUAUUACCAAAACAUCAAAACUCUUUUUUACCAAAAGGUGAAAACUUUUUACCAAAAGAUCAAAACUUUCACUACCAAAAAGACAAAAACUCUCACUACAAUCAAGAUCAGAACUUAUUACCAAAAGACCAAAACUCCUUUUUACCAAAAGGUGAAAACUUUCACUACCAAAAAGACCAAAACUCUCACUACCAUCAAGAUCAAAACUCCUUUUUACCAAAAGGUGAAAACUUUCACUACCAAAAAGACCAAAACUCUCACUACCAUAAAGAUCAAAACUUUCAGUAGUAACCCAUUUGAGUGAAUGUACCUGAGUGGUUUUGAGAAGGUCGAAGAAAGCACCACCUUCAAUCUUCUUCUGGGUUUCUUCAGGCAAAGCCUCGAAUUCAGCAAUGAUCUGGUUUUGUUGCAGGAUGCCUUUACCCUUGGCUUCAACCCUAUAGACUCAUCAUGUGUAAGUGUGAUCAAACUUUUAUCUUCUCUUCUUACCAUUUUAAAAGUUGAUUGAUGCGAGGAGAUACCUGGAAAGCAAGGCAAGGACUUCGUUUCUUUGAGCAACGAGCGUUUCGUUCAAACGCUCACGCUGGCUGUGGACGCGCGUUAACACACCGUUCACCAUUGAUCCAAAAGAGACAACAGAAAGUGUUUUUGGAAACUGCAGAGAGAAAAUUAAGAUACAAAGAAAACUAUGAAUGAGAUGAUGAGUCUUUGCAUUGCCCACAUUCACAUUUUAUACUAGAAAACUAUGAGUUAGAUAAAUUAAUAUAGCAUUUAUUUAUUGACCUUAUUGAUCAAAUACUUGACUUUUUCUAACUAUUUUAGCCUUGAUCUUCCUAAGGUAUUACAAUAUAACCAUAGAGCUUAUUAAAUUGAUAAAAUUAUAUUUUUUGAACUAUACUUGGACGUGUACAAACUCAGAAUGAUAUUUUAUGGAUUAGCUUUAUCCAACAAUUUUAUUAGUUUCGCUAAACAUUCCUGUCCACCAUCCGUAUAAAAGCAAUGGUGUUUAGGCCUCGUCACAUUUAAAUCCAAGUGCGACCUUAUAAAAGUGGAUGCAAAAAUAUAAUAUAAAUACAAAAAUGUACCAUAUUGCUUAAAAAAGAUAUUUAAAAGUGCAUGCAAAUAUCUUCUUUUUUUUUUUGAUCAAAAAGUGCAUGCAAAUAUCUAUGUCAUACAAUACAUUAAAGAAAACAAGACACCCACCAAAAUAAAAAUAAACUUAUUGGCAAAUCUAAAGAAAACUAUACAUUUUUUCUAGAACAGUACAAUACUCUAUAGUGGAUUUUGGAUAUAGUUUUUUUUAGAAAAUGAUUCCGCAUGCAAAAGAAUUUUCUAAAAAUGUUAAAUUAAAUAAAAUAAAAUUACACUCAUUUUUCUUUGGAAAACAGCUGGAAAAUUCUCUUGGAAAAAAAUCCCUCUUUAAAAAAAGCGAGAAAAUAGAAUAAUGCACGACUGAUUCUCCAGAAUAUAAAGACGUUUGCUGUUUUUCUUCUAACCAGAGAUUUUUCGGGCAAGAAUUUUCUUAGGCAAAAAGGACAAUCAUUUUCUGUUCUUUUUUUAAGAAUAAUAAACAAAAAAUUCUUGUCUCGCUAGCUAGCAUUAUAAUCUAUAAUAUGUUAAAAUGAUAACGUGAACCAAAAACAAAAAGCUGAGAAGAAGAGGACCUUGCAGACUUGCAGUAUAUAGUGGUUUCAGUGAAUCGUGGUGGUUUGGUUCAUUAGAUUUUCAAAUUUAUAGAGACACGUUAUUAUUAGUAAAGGUUGAUACAAUUUUUGGUAAAGGUUGAUACAACUAUUUGUUGAUUUAGUUCAACUACUAGUUAUUUUUUUUUGCUAUCAGAUUUUUUGAGUUGUGAAACUAGGUUUCAUUCGAGUAUUAUAAAUUAAAUUUUUAUGUGAGUUUCGAAUCGAAUUUUCUCGAGUUAAGUUGAAUUCAGUUUGAUAUAUAAAAACCUAUUUGAUAAAAAAAAUAUAUAUAAAAACCUACAAAUAUUCAAAAACUAAUGCAUUUGAGGCGAGUUUGGAUAUUUGUACCAAAGGUAACAAUAUUAACCGAUUCAGUUCGAGUAUUUUGAGUUCAAACUAAAAUUAACCUAAAAAUAUUCAAAUAACCAAAGUAAUCAUAUUACCAUAUUUGAUUCGGGUUUGAUUUUGAUGUAUAAAAACUUAAAAAUAUUAAAAUAUUUAUACAAUUAAUUAUAUUAUGAUACAUAUAAAAUAUAUAACAAUAAUCAUGAAAAAAAUAUAAAUAUAUAAAAGGAAAAUUAACACCCGCAGGUCAAUAUCUAAUUUACUCUUAAUUCAGUUCAUAUUUCACCAAUCAAUUGAAAACAAGUUUAUUUACUUUUCAUCUCUCUUACGCAGUAUACUAUUUUUAAUUAGUGGUAAAUAAGUUCAUUUAUUUAUCCCAUGUAUGCUGAAGAGGAAGAAAACAUAUAACGCUGACUUUUAACUUUUUUUUUUUGUUUUUCAUUAUUUUAUUUAUUCUACCAUUUUACUUUCAUUUAAGUUACGCUUUUGUUUACCAAUCAUAAGAUUCAUAACCAAAGUAAUAAAGUUAAGUUGAUGCUUGGACACAGUGACACGGAGACGUUGGUCUCUGCUUUCCAAAAACACAUCGUUCACUCUGUAAUUCAAAUGCAACUUGACGAGAAGUUGCUUUGCACAAAUUAAUGGUGCCUGAAAAUGUUCACAGUUAAAAAUACUAAGAUGUACAAAAGUCCCUGUACCUAAUACAUAUUUGUCCAUUUUUUUUAAAAAAAGCACAUAUUAGUCCAUUUUAAUUUAUGAUUUAUUGAUUAUUGUUUAGGAUUUAAUAUUUAGGAGUGGAGUUGAAUUUAUAAAUUUCUAUAAAUACUCUUUUAUAAAUGAUUUACGAGAGCUAGAUAAAUUUUUUUAUCACAAAUUAAUAAAAAUGAUUAUUUUUACGAAUAAAUUUGAAAACAUAAUCCAAUUUGUGGUAAAAUUAGAAUAUUUCCAAAAUUAUUCUCAGCUAUAUUGUUUAUACUGCUCCAUAAAGUAACUAUUAUACUGACUAGUCUACAGAAUUCAUUUGACAUUACAACCAUUUCCUUAAAUCAUUUCCAUCAUUAAAUCAUUUUUCAUCAUCACCAUCAAUAUGUUACUAUCCACUUACGAAACAGACCGCCUCUUAAAAAACCCGUUCAUCACUCUCUUACGUUACAGAGAGAAAACUCUUUCGAUCUUUACCUUCAUAUCAAAUCAUAAAUCAUAAGGUCAGAGAUGAGAUGAGUUCGGUUUCGUGAUCGGUUUUUCCUUCCGGAAACGAUGGCUCCUUCAGUGUCGUUUGCCGGCUUCUGACUCCGGCGUCGCUUCUUACCCCUCGGUGUCGACGGCUGGCUCUGUGCCGGUUUCAUUCGGCGUUUAUAUUUUUGAAAUACGACGGUGAAGAAGGAAGAGAUGGUUGUAGUUCUAAAGCCGUCGGUGGUGGUUUAGGUGGCUCUGGAUGAGAUCUCGGGAUAGUCUCGAUCGAUCUCUCCGUUAAAAAGAGUAUUGGUGACGAAGGUGGGCGCGGUGGUUCUAGCUACGGCGUUUAUCCGGUGAAACACGUGUCCGUUUUUCGUCUCCUCUGACGUGAACCUCGUGGGUUGGGUUACGAUGUCGUGAUCGGGUGACGCGUGUCCCGUUCAUGGGUGGGUUUCAACACGUGGAUGGCCUUGCGAGGUUCUAGACGCGUGGCAAUGUGAGGCGCCGCACGGUUUGUGGUUUGGGCUUAAGGCCCAUGUUUAGUUUGCCCUUUGUCCUGGGCUUUAUGCUUUAUGUUUUAUGUUUUAUGUUUAAUGUUUUGGAUUCGUUGGGUUUGACCCAUUAAUAAAAUAAUAGAUGAAAAAAAAAUGUUACUAUCGACUUCAAUUGACGGUUUUGAUUUAGUUUUGUGAAAUGUGCAACAAAACGUUCAAAUGGUUUUCAAUGUAAAACCGUUAAUGGUUUCAUCCAUUGCCUGCAAUUUGUUUUGCUGGGUUGAAACCAUUGGCUAAGUUAUUAUUAUUAACUAGGGGCGUUGUCCCUACGCAAGCGCGGAGUUAUGGACAAAAUUCUUAUUUCAUCUCAAUAUUUGUUAGGGUUAUUGUAGCUGUGAAUUUUGCGUUUUGGGUUGAUCAUUGUUUUUCAAGUUUUUUAUUGUUAUAGGGUUAGAGUUGUGAUGAUGAACUGUGUAUGCACUGUUCUGCACUCACGAAGAACUAAAUUGUGUUAGUAAUGUGAUUGAUAUAGUUCGUGGUGUUGUUUGCUGUGUCACUGAAACUUAUUGUUUGUUUGUCUUUUUAAUUUGUUACUUGUACUGUUGAGAUUACAUAAAUUAUAUUAAGGUUGUUGAGAGUACUUUUUGUUUAUGGAUAUUUUUUCUCGAGUUUAGUUGUGUAAGUUGUGAGUGUUAAGUAAUUUUUUUUUUUGUCAGGCUUCCCUUUCAACUCUUUGGCAAGCUCAACGGCAGCAUCCUCGGUGUAAGUCUCAAGAUAUGGCCAGACUUCGAAUCUCGAGAUCCAUUUGCGAACUAUACCCUUCUCUGUUCUGAAGGGCACACGGAGAAUAUCACAAUACUCAGAUCCAUCAACUCUCUCAAGACGCUCACCACAUGUGGUUCCCACCGCAUCAGGGAGAAGUCUAGUGAGCUGCAACAGAAGCAAAACACACACACAAAGUGAGAUUCAGACAUUCAAACAAGAUUCCAAGGUUUGGAGCAAGCUUACAAUGAGGAUUCUUGGAGUAAAGUUGAGUCCUUGCUGCUUAAUACGUUGCAGCAUCUCUGUCUCCAAGGCACGGACUUGAUCCAGAAUGUAAACAACCUGACCACCAGUGUCAGGGUAACCAAGGACAUUGUCCUGAGCGAAGUAGCCAUGCGGAGAGAGGAUCACAACGUUGAACACCAUUGGGAUUCUUCCGAGAAAGGUCUCAAGAGUGCAAGGGUCAGGGGCCUCAAGAAGGUCCAAAAGAAGACGGAGCAUGUCAAGGACACGCUCGGCGUUGUUUCCCCAUCCCCUCUCAAGACCAAUCUCCUCAAACUUGGCCUCAAAGUCUUCGUAAGGCGUUUCGGGUGAAAGCUCGGCUAGAUACUCCUCAGCUUUCCUCAAGAUGUGUUGAAGAGUGUUGAGGUUUUGAAUUUUCUCGUUCAACAUGAGGGU
RNAcentral lists this long non-coding RNA (6221 nucleotides) under Brassica napus (rape). Its description in RNAcentral is "long non-coding RNA (BNAP_LNC012772)". Lineage: Eukaryota; Viridiplantae; Streptophyta; Magnoliopsida; Brassicales; Brassicaceae. The record is from RNAcentral.